This 498-nucleotide ribosomal RNA is filed under the name uncultured bacterium. Its description in RNAcentral is "partial 16S ribosomal RNA". It matches the Rfam family "Bacterial small subunit ribosomal RNA", at positions 30 to 523 of the family's 1533-position model. The record is from RNAcentral.
AUUGAACGCUGGCGGCAUGCCUUACACAUGCAAGUCGAACGGUAACAGGUCUUCGGACGCUGACGAGUGGCGAACGGGUGAGUAAUACAUCGGAACGUGCCCAGUCGUGGGGGAUAACUACUCGAAAGAGUAGCUAAUACCGCAUACGAUCUGAGGAUGAAAGCGGGGGGCCUUCGGGCCUCGCGCGAUUGGAGCGGCCGAUGGCAGAUUAGGUAGUUGGUGGGAUAAAAGCUUACCAAGCCGACGAUCUGUAGCUGGUCUGAGAGGACGACCAGCCACACUGGGACUGAGACACGGCCCAGACUCCUACGGGAGGCAGCAGUGGGGAAUUUUGGACAAUGGGCGAAAGCCUGAUCCAGCAAUGCCGCGUGCAGGAUGAAGGCCUUCGGGUUGUAAACUGCUUUUGUACGGAACGAAAAAGUCUCCUCUAAUACAGGAGGCCCAUGACGGUACCGUAAGAAUAAGCACCGGCUAACUACGUGCCAGCCGCCGCCGUAA